GCGAUCAGGGGUCUCGGAGGGUGCCAUUUAUUGCAUGGCAUGCAGGGGGUCAGCGGUUCGAAUCCGCUUGGCUCCA
RNAcentral lists this transfer RNA (76 nucleotides) under Cyanobium sp. RNAcentral's name for it is "tRNA-Asn". The record is from RNAcentral. Lineage: Bacteria; Bacillati; Cyanobacteriota; Cyanophyceae; Synechococcales; Prochlorococcaceae.